GAACUAAGGAACUGGCUCAAUGAUUAAGUGCCCCUGAGUUCAAUCCCUGUAUUUAAAAAAAAAGAAAAAAAGUAAAGGAGAAAGGUAAUGACAAGGGAGUAAACUUGAAGAAGAGUCUUUUGCUGUGCUUGAUAAUGAAAGAAUUUUGAAUAUUUAAAUUCAUUUGAAAAAUGCUAACAGAAGAGAGGUUGAAGAGGGGGAAGGGAGAACAUAAUUAUGAUGGAGUAGCAUUCCCUAAGUAACAUCCUCUAUGACAUGAGAAAAUCACAGACUCAAACUAGAGGAAUGUUUUAGUCAGCUUUUUCAUCACUGUGACCAAAAGACCUGACAAGAAAAUUUUAGAGGAGGAAAAGUUUUAUGUUUUCAGAGGUCUCAAUCACUUACAUCAGGCUCUGGGCCUGAUGUAAGGCAGAAUGUCAUGACAAAGGGUCUGAGAGGAAAACAGCUUAGGACAUGACAAUUAGGAAGCAGAGAGAGUUCCACUCAUCAGGGACAAAAUAUAAAUUAAAGGCAUGCCCCUAUCUUCUCCAGUCACACCUUACCUACCGAUAUUUGCUGCAUAGUUAAUUUGUAUCAAUGGAUCAAUCCACUGAUUUAGGUUAUAGCUCUUAAAAAGUAGUAUUCAAACAUUACUGUUAUGGGCUGAAUUGUGUAUCCCCAA
RNAcentral lists this long non-coding RNA (661 nucleotides) under Marmota monax (woodchuck). The record is from RNAcentral. Lineage: Eukaryota; Metazoa; Chordata; Mammalia; Rodentia; Sciuridae.